RNAcentral lists this ribosomal RNA (305 nucleotides) under uncultured bacterium. Its description in RNAcentral is "bacterial SSU rRNA". It matches the Rfam family "Bacterial small subunit ribosomal RNA", at positions 337 to 658 of the family's 1533-position model. The record is from RNAcentral.
ACCUACGGGACGCAGCAGUGGGGAAUAUUGCACAAUGGGGGAAACCCUGAUGCAGCAACGCCGCGUGAGUGAGGAAGUAUUUCGGUAUGUAAAGCUCUAUCAGCAGGGAAUAGAAAAGAAGGUACCUGAAAAAGAAGCCCCGGCUAACUACGUGCCAGCAGCCGCGGUAAUACGUAGGGGGCAAGCGUUAUCCGGAUUUACUGGGUGUAAAGGGAGCGUAGACGGCGAAGAAAGUCUGAAGUGAAAGCCCGCGGCUCAACCGCGGAAUGGCUUUGGAAACUUUUUUGCUGGAGUACCGGAGAGGG